This 2258-nucleotide unclassified non-coding RNA is filed under the name Homarus americanus (American lobster). RNAcentral's name for it is "basic phospholipase A2 pseudexin A chain-like, transcript variant X1". The record is from RNAcentral. Lineage: Eukaryota; Metazoa; Arthropoda; Malacostraca; Decapoda; Nephropidae.
UGUCUCUGUCUCUCUCUCUCUGGCCAGUCUCGCCCUCCUGGACAUUAUCUUUAACAACAGUGAAUACAACAUCUUCCACCAUCGCUCAAGGCGUGAUUACCCUCAAACAUAAAAUAUAAUUAUUGUCAUUAACUUUACGAAUGUUGAGGAAGUUAAUAAACGAGUUAGUGAGUGAAUCAGUUAAUUAACUUGAGGAGAGUAAUUAAGACAUCUUCGUGUAGGAUAAAUCUGUUCAUCUUGAGAGAGUGACAGCGUGGUGUAGUGGGAGACAGUUCACACCAGUCAGGAUAUAUACCAGCGUGUGAGGCCCUUCGCAGAUAAGAUGAAGUGCCUCAGUAACCUCGCCGUUUUCGCCAUCUUCUGCGGCUCCCUGACACCCACGUCACUAACAGAUCAAACAGCCGUCGCCACGUUCCUCAGUGAAGAGAAUCAAAACAAUAACAAACAUCAGCUGACGGACCAGAAUGACGCCACCACCACCACCACCACAAGACGCAAACGUUCUGUUUUCCACCUGUACAGUAUGAUGACGUGUGCCACCACCUGUAACCCGUUCGACUACAAAGGCUACGGCUGUUACUGUGGCUUCCUCGGCUCAGGAGUCGUAGUCGAUGGGAUUGACAAGUGUUGUAAGGGGCACGACUGGUGUUAUGAGCACGCUAGAUGCACAGGUUUUGAUCAUUACUUCACACCUUACAAGUGGAAGUGCAAUGGAGGGAAGCCAUAUUGUGUAACAACGAAGGGUCCAAAUGGGGCGGUCAACAGCUGCGGUCAUCAACUAUGCGAGUGUGACCGUGAGUUCGUGGAAUGCCUGAAGCAAUACCCGUGCCCCAAAACCAGGGCCAUGUGUAUGACGUCACCCUGGAGAAAUAUAAUUCACUUGGGUAAGUUUGGACGGUCGGCUUCAAUAGCGUUGCAGACUCUUCUCUAGCUGAGGGCCACUGUUUGACCCUUGUCUGCUGAGGUGAUUGUCUGCUGAACUGACUGUCUGCUAAACUGACUGUCUGCUAAACUGACUGUCUGCUACGGUUACUACUCAACUGACUGUCUGCUAAGGUUACUACUCAACUGACUGUCUGCUAAGGUUACUACUCAACCGACUGUCUGCUAAGGUUACUACUCAACUGACUGUCUGCUAAGGUUACCACUUAACUGAUUCUCUGUUGACGUGACUGUCUACUUGAGGUGACUAUCAAACUGACUUUACCAACCUUUCUUCCCGUUACUCCUCCUGUAACUACCAGGCCACGUAAAAGUGACCUAACUGCUUCUUCGUUCUUCCCCACCGAGAGUGACGCAAGCUACCUCAAAUAUUCACCCUCAAUAGUAACACCAUUACCUCAUGUUGUACCAAGUUGAUGAACAGGUAUGAUGAACAGGGUGAACAAGUAGAGAGAGAGGCACGAGAAGUCUUGAACAUCUUUAAAUUCGUGCACAGGUGAAAAUGACUGGUUUGAACAGGGUGAACAAGUAGAGAGAGAGGCACGAGAAGUUUUGAACAUCUUUAAAUUCGUGCACAGGUGAAAAUGACUGGUUUGAACAGGUGUUAUAGUAGAUGUGUACAGUUUUGAACACGGGUAUAGGUGUGAACAGGUUGAAAGUUGUUGAUGAUGAUGAUUGAUGAUUGAUGAUGAUGGAUGUUGGUUUAUAAUGACACAACUGCACAAACAAGACAUAUCAGACAAUUAUUAUUCUCUGAUUAUAAUCCUUAAACACAAACCGUUACCACCAUCAAACAACACAAAACAACAGAAUAAACAAGAGAAUCACAGGUUAAUUUAAGAUGUAAUAAUAAAUCAAAAGUGAGAGAUGCUGUAGGUGAAAUGUUGAUGUUUUUAAAGACUGUUAUUUACCCCAGAAAUAUGAAGAGCAUUCACAAGUGAGGGUAAAUAUAGUCACAGGAGUAUUUUCAUCUUAUAAAUGUAUCUAACAAUAAUUAUCUAACUUAUUGAGAUAUAGUAGGGAUAUAGGGCAUUAUAAGUUAUUCUAAAUUAUUCUAUUUUGUACAUACAUAACAAAAGUAUAUUAUUGCUUCUUCAGCUUUAUAUACGGGGUCCCUUAUUUUUUUGGAUUACAGGUGGGAUUCUUCCUUCAUUUGUAUAUAAAAAUGUGAACUUGUAAAAAAUGUAUAUUAUAUUGGUUUAGUUUUAACGAUGUAUAUAUUUAUUCCUCAAUAAAGAUGGUAUUGUAUAAUGAGUAUAAACAUCUCAUUUGUAUCAUGUGUCGUCAUAAUCUGGUGAAGUAAAGAUAACUUGAAA